This 248-nucleotide ribosomal RNA is filed under the name uncultured bacterium. RNAcentral's name for it is "partial 16S ribosomal RNA". It matches the Rfam family "Bacterial small subunit ribosomal RNA", at positions 88 to 339 of the family's 1533-position model. The record is from RNAcentral.
UAGUAGAGUGGCGAACGGGUGAGUAAUACAUCGGAACAUGUCCUGUAGCGGGGGAUAACCUCGAGAAAUCGAGGCUAAUACCGCAUACGUCCUAAGGGAGAAAGCGGGGGAUCGCAAGACCUCGCACUAUAGGAGUGGCCGAUGUCGGAUUAGCUAGUUGGCGGGGUAAUAGCCCACCAAGGCGACGAUCCGUAGCUGGUCUGAGAGGAUGAUCAGCCACACUGGGACUGAGACACGGCCCAGACUCC